Molecule: small nuclear RNA, 90 nt
Filed under: Mus spicilegus (steppe mouse)
Lineage: Eukaryota; Metazoa; Chordata; Mammalia; Rodentia; Muridae
Source: RNAcentral
GUGCUCACUUCAACAGCACAUACACUAAAAUUGGACCGAUAAAGAUAAAAUUAGCAUGACACUCAAAUUCAUGAAGUGGUCCAUAUUUAA